GUGUCAGCAGCCGCGGUCAUACGUAGGGUCCAAGCGUUAUCCGGAAUUACUGGGCGUAAAGAGUUGCGUAGGUGGUUUAUUAAGCAAAUAGUGAAAGCGUGGGGCUCAACCUCAUAAACAUUAUUUGAACUGGUAGACUUGAGAACGAGAGAGGUAGAUGGAAUUUCUAGUGUAGGAGUGAAAUCCGUAGAUAUUAGAAGGAACACCGAUGGCGUAGGCAGUCUACUGGCUCGUUUCUGACACUAAGGCACGAAAGCGUGGGGAGCAAACGGGAUUAGAUACCCCGGUAGUCCACGCCGUAAACGAUGCAUGCUAGCUGUAAGACGUAUCGACCCGUCUUGUAGCGAAGCUAACGCGUUAAGCAUGCCGCCUGGGGAGUACGGUCGCAAGAUUAAA
Molecule: ribosomal RNA, 396 nt
Filed under: uncultured bacterium
Lineage: Bacteria
Description: bacterial SSU rRNA
Rfam family: Bacterial small subunit ribosomal RNA
Source: RNAcentral